CGACGUGGAUAACCUGCCUCACACAGGGGGAUAACAGUUAGAAAUGACUGCUAAUACCGCAUAAGCGCACGGCAUCGCAUGAUGCAGUGUGAAAAACUCCGGUGGUGUGAGAUGGAUCCGCGUCUGAUUAGGUGGUUGGUGGGGUAACGGCCCACCAAGCCGACGAUCAGUAGCCGACCUGAGAGGGUGACCGGCCACAUUGGGACUGAGACACGGCCCAA
RNAcentral lists this ribosomal RNA (221 nucleotides) under uncultured bacterium. Its description in RNAcentral is "partial 16S ribosomal RNA". It matches the Rfam family "Bacterial small subunit ribosomal RNA", at positions 113 to 334 of the family's 1533-position model. The record is from RNAcentral.